CUUUAGAAGUCAGCUUUGGCUCCAGGUAUAAAACCAUGGAAUCACAGAAUGGUUUGGGUUGGAAGGGACCUUAAAGCACACCCAGUUCCAGCCCCCUGCCAUGGGCAGGGACACCUCCCACCACACCAGGUUGCCCAAAGCCCCAUCCAGCCUGGCCUUGAGCACCUCCAGGGAUGGGGCAUCCACAGCUUCUCUGGGCAGCCUGUGCCAGGGCCUCACCGCCCUCUGAGUGAAGAUUUUUUUUCCAACAUUUAAUCUAAAUCUCCCCUCUUUUAGUUUAAAACCAUCCCCCCCCUUGUCCUAUCACUAUCUACCCAUGUAAAAAGUCACUCUCCAUCUUUUUUUUUUUAACCCCCCUUUAAGUACUGGAAGGCCACUGUAAGGUCUCCCUGGAGCCUUCUCUUCCCCAGGCUGAACAACCCCAGCUCUCUCAGCCUUUCUUCACAAGAGAGGUGCUCCAGCCCUCUGAGCAUCUUCGUGGCCCUCCUCUGGACCCACUCUAACAGCCCCACAUCCUUCUUGUGCUGGGGGCCCCACACCUGGACACAGCACUCCAGGUGGGGCCUCACAAACGUAGAGCAGAGGGGGACAGUCACCUCCCUCCACCUGCUGGCCACUCCUCUGUGGAUGCAGCCCAGGAUGCAGCUGGCCUUCUGGGCUGCAAGUGCACACUGCUGGCUCGUGUGGAGCUUUUUGUCCACCAGAACCCUCAAAAACCUUCUCCACAGGGCUUCUCUCAAUCAGUUCUCCCAGCCUGUAUUUGUGUCUGGGAUUGCCCUGACCCAAGUGCAGCACCUUGCACUUGGCCUUGUUGAACCUCAUGAGGUUCAUAUGGGCCCACUUCUCAAACUUGUCCAGGUCCCUUUGGAUGGCAUCCCUUCCUUCUGUUGUAUCAACUGCGCCACUCAGCUUGGUGUCAUCUGCAAAGUUGCUGAGGGUACAUUUGAUCCCACUGUCUAUGUAAUUGAUAAAGAUAUGAAACAGCACCGUUCCCAAGAUGGAGCGCUGAGGGACACCAGUCUUCACCAGCCUCCACCUGGACACAGAGCCCUUGACACAAAGUCCAGAAUGUCCCGUGCUAAGGGAGAAUGUUCAGAAAGGUUACAACUGAAGAGCUAAAAUACAGCAGAACAGUCUUUCCCCUACUCACGAGACCUAAAACGUGCUUUCUUUGCAUUCCUGGCAUGAUCUGUUAUCUGUCCAAACGUAUGGCCCACCAAGGCAGACACCUCAUCUUCCUUUGUACCUCCAACACUCAGCAGCUGUUUAGGAAGUAAGGAAAUAAGAGCAUAGCAGUAAUAACUAGAAUAUAAAGAUAUGUGGCUGUAAUAAAAGUUGCGGUAGCAAUAUUGGAUUUUUGUGG
This 1363-nucleotide long non-coding RNA is filed under the name Anser brachyrhynchus (Pink-footed goose). RNAcentral's name for it is "lncRNA (ENSABRG00000003929.1)". Lineage: Eukaryota; Metazoa; Chordata; Aves; Anseriformes; Anatidae. The record is from RNAcentral.